UGCAGUUUUGGUGUGUGUGUGUGUGUGUGUGUGUGUAGACACACACACACAUAUACACACACACACACACACACACACAUAGUUGUA
This is a non-coding RNA of Podarcis lilfordi (Lilford's wall lizard), 87 nucleotides long. The record is from the annotation of a GenBank genome assembly. NCBI's taxonomy places the organism in Eukaryota, Metazoa, Chordata, Lepidosauria, Squamata, Lacertidae.